GAGGCCUGCUCCAGGUCCUCUUUAUUACAGACAGCCUUUCUUGACACAGCACCUGCCCUUUGGAACAUUAUUGGUCUAAAGAUUAGAUUGGCUUCAAUUCCGCUGGGCUUUUCACAAGGCCUUAAAAACAUGGUUCUCUUACUGGGGCUGGCAAUCUGGAGAUGUGGCUGAGCUUGUACAACGGUUGUUGAUCUGUUAUUGCAUCACCCUUUUACAUACAGAGAUUACUGAUGAUCUCCUGAAUCCAGCCAUCAUGCUCUCCCUGACCCAUUCCUGAGGUUGAGUAGAGAAUCAAUCUAGAGAACACCUAUUCACUUUAUCAGUCCAUAAGCCAAGGGAAGUCCCCAUCAACAUAGAAAGAUGGAACCAUGUCAGACUCUUCUCAUAAAGACCCUGCCAAUUCUGAACAAAAUGCUAUACAAGACCUUCAUAGUGGCCAGACAAGAGAUCUACAGGUUCAACCCUCCCUAGAAAAGAGUUGGCCAUGCUAAACAAAGCUGCUGGAUAAGACAAUAAUGGAGAGGUGGAAAAGACUGAAUCAAAAUGCAUCCUUAUGUGUAAGAUGGGCCCAUCAACCUCAUCUUACCAGCUUGGAGACCAAUAAUUUUCUUCCUUUCUUUGUCUUACACUAUCACUAGCAGCACCAUCACAAAAUCAUGCCAGUCUCAGCCCCAGGGCAGCUAAUUGGGAUGUUAAAUACAGUCUUUCUGACUCCCUGUCCUAGGGGGGUAAGGAAAUUCAGGAAUGACGUGUUCAAUUACAAUUAAGCCUGACACAUGCACACAGCAUGACCUUCACUAGGCUCUUUGAUGUUAUUAAAAACAACCUAGGUCCAGGACGGAGGAAAUGUUUAAAAGGGAAAAUGGUGGGGUCUAAAUUAAAUUUAACGAUGGUGUUCCUCAGCACCAUUCCUUGUGCACCCAGCACUACCACAAACCAAAAGAAAUGCCCUGCUGAAACCGAAAAACUCCACUAUACUAUUAUUGUAUCAAGCAAUUUUAAGCAUAAAGGGAUAUACUGUAUCAGACAAAUCCAUCUCUUUCAAAUGUUAACCAUUGGAAGAACCUCACAACAUCAAUAACUAAUGCCUUAUGGUGCUUUUUAAAAAUCUUUCCUUCUCAUGGGCAGGAUGGGGGUGGAAAGCACAAGACUGGGGAUGAAAGAGAGAAAGGAAGAGAGAAUGAGAAAGGGAGCACAUGAGUAGCUGUAUAAUUGCUUUUAGAUGCCCUGCACGCACAGACUGAUUUGAUGUUACUGGUUGUCUGUAUGCGACUCUGGUUUUUGUUUUGUUUUUUUCAAGUGAAGUAUAAGGUAAAAAUACUUUAAUUAAAUAUAUAAUCAACAUGUUUUGUAACACAUCUUCUCACUUUCUUUAACAGGUAUAAAUUUACAGAUUUUUAAAUUGUAUUUAUAAAGGAACUACACAUUUCCCAAUUAUUUGCUAUAAACAUAUGCAUCCCUGUCUAUACAAACAGGAUAUGUCCCUGCAUUCCUAUGACUCAAUCAGCUCUAUUUCUGACCUGGGUAAUCAAAUUUCUUGG
Molecule: long non-coding RNA, 1541 nt
Organism: Pantherophis guttatus
Lineage: Eukaryota; Metazoa; Chordata; Lepidosauria; Squamata; Colubridae
Source: RefSeq, a predicted model, not a curated record